CAGUCGCCGCGGGAAUACGUAGGUGGCAAGCGUUGUCCGGAAUUAUUAGGCGUAAAGGGCUCGCAGGCGGUUUCUUAAGUCUGAUGUGAAAGCCCCCGGCUCAACCGGGGAGGGUCAUUGGAAACUGGGAAACUUGAGUGCAGAAGAGGAGAGUGGAAUUCCACGUGUAGCGGUGAAAUGCGUAGAGAUGUGGAGGAACACCAGUGGCGAAGGCGACUCUCUGGUCUGUAACUGACGCUGAGGAGCGAAAGCGUGGGGAGCGAACAGGAUUAGAUACCCCAGUAGUCCCUGUCUCUUAUAC
Molecule: ribosomal RNA, 301 nt
Filed under: uncultured bacterium
Lineage: Bacteria
Description: partial 16S ribosomal RNA
Rfam family: Bacterial small subunit ribosomal RNA
Source: RNAcentral